This 465-nucleotide ribosomal RNA is filed under the name Vreelandella stevensii. RNAcentral describes it as "partial 16S ribosomal RNA". It matches the Rfam family "Bacterial small subunit ribosomal RNA", at positions 338 to 795 of the family's 1533-position model. The record is from RNAcentral. Lineage: Bacteria; Pseudomonadati; Pseudomonadota; Gammaproteobacteria; Oceanospirillales; Halomonadaceae.
CCUACGGGGGGCUGCAGUGGGGAAUAUUGGACAAUGGGCGAAAGCCUGAUCCAGCCAUGCCGCGUGUGUGAAGAAGGCCUUCGGGUUGUAAAGCACUUUCAGUGGGGAAGAAAGCCUUGGGGCUAAUACCCUCGAGGAAGGACAUCACCCACAGAAGAAGCACCGGCUAACUCCGUGCCAGCAGCCGCGGUAAUACGGAGGGUGCGAGCGUUAUUCGGAAUUACUGGGCGUAAAGGGCGCGUAGGCGGUCUGAUAAGCCGGUUGUGAAAGCCCCGGGCUCAACCUGGGAACGGCAUCCGGAACUGCCAGGCUAGAGUGCAGGAGAGGAAGGUAGAAUUCCCGGUGUAGCGGUGAAAUGCGUAGAGAUCGGGAGGAAUACCAGUGGCGAAGGCGGCCUUCUGGACUGAAACUGACGCUGAGGUGCGAAAGCGUGGGUAGCAAACAGGAUUAGAUACCCGAGUAGUC